UAGGGAAUCUUCGGCAAUGGACGAAAGUCUGACCGAGCAACGCCGCGUGAGUGAAGAAGGUUUUCGGAUCGUAAAACUCUGUUGUUAGAGAAGAACAAGGAUGAGAGUAACUGUUCAUCCCUUGACGGUAUCUAACCAGAAAGCCACGGCUAACUACGUG
This 160-nucleotide ribosomal RNA is filed under the name uncultured bacterium. Its description in RNAcentral is "partial 16S ribosomal RNA". It matches the Rfam family "Bacterial small subunit ribosomal RNA", at positions 355 to 507 of the family's 1533-position model. The record is from RNAcentral.